GUCAGAUAGUGAUAACAACAAAUAUUUCUAUAAUAGAAAUGUAAUUAUAGAAUUGACGUUUCUAUUGCACGUAGUAAAGGGUUUGGUUGUUGGUACCUGAGGUCCUAGGUUUGAAGCUUAGUUGCUUCAUUUCCAGCUAAGUUUAUCUUUAAAAAAUGAAAUAAAUGAAGUAGAUAGCAUGCUACCUUUCUCUCUAAAAAAAAGAAAUCUAAUUAUAGAAAUACAACUACAAUGCUUCAAUUACACUAGAUGCAACUAUUUCAUAGGUUAUAAGUUGAUCCAAUUUACUUCAUAUCUCAACUAUCUCAUACCUCUCAAAUAUAUAUUUUUUUAACCAACUUAGUAGUUUAGUUUCACUUCUUAUUACACCUCAUGGAGAGUCAAUUGCUAUCAAACUCCUCUCCAAUCAGUAGGUAGGUAACUGGGGUAGAAUACUCUCGAAUUUUCCAAAGUACCUAAUUAGGAGUCAAUUUUUCUCAUACUUCUCCCUUUUAAUUUGAGACUUCUGGAAGAUCACACAUAUUAUACUAUCACCCCAAAAAGUUCAUGACUUUUAUGGUGCGUUUGGUUCGCAUUAUCUUUUUAAGAUUCCUAGUAAUCCAAUAUAAAUAAAAAAAAUAUGACGGUGUUUGGCUAAAUGCACUAAGUAAUCUAGUUGGUAAUAUUAGAUUUACUUGGGAAUAAGAUUCAUCCCAAAAUACUAAUCUCAUUCCCUUAAGGGAGGGUGGGUAUCCUCAUAUUAAUGAUUGGGGUAACCAUAAUAUGUUUAAUAUCUUUCUUUCUCCCUACCAUUGGCUAGUUGGUAUUAUUUUUCUUUAUACUCUAAUCUCAUGUCUUUCUCUAAACUUAUCUUUUUCUUUAUAAAUUUCAACUCUUUUUCUCUCUCUAAAGUAAGUUCUCUCUCUCCCUCUUUUUCUAGAAUCUCAACUCUCUCACUCUCUCUAAUCUCGACUAUAUUUCUCUUUCUAUUUAUUUAAUUAUGCUCUUUUUCUCUAAUAUAUGUUUUCUCUCCCUUUUUUCUAAAGAGAUGUUGAAUUUUUGAUAGCAGUAUCUAAAAUUAAAUAAAUAAAUUAAUUAAUUAAUUGUAUAUUUUUUGUAAUAUUAAAUAACAUGAAUAAAUAAUAUGACCGUACGAACCAAACACAGGAAUGCCACAUUCUUAGUAAUAGGAUGAAUAGGAAUAAGAUUCUCGGACAUUUUUUUAUUCCUAGUAAUCUUUUAUAGUGCGAACCAAACGCACCCUUAGA
Molecule: long non-coding RNA, 1247 nt
Filed under: Ananas comosus (pineapple)
Lineage: Eukaryota; Viridiplantae; Streptophyta; Magnoliopsida; Poales; Bromeliaceae
Description: long non-coding RNA (ACOM_LNC011925)
Source: RNAcentral